CCAUGACGUUCAGCGGAUCUGG
This 22-nucleotide non-coding RNA is filed under the name Arabidopsis thaliana (thale cress). The record is from RNAcentral. Lineage: Eukaryota; Viridiplantae; Streptophyta; Magnoliopsida; Brassicales; Brassicaceae.